This 1650-nucleotide long non-coding RNA is filed under the name Macaca fascicularis (crab-eating macaque). Its description in RNAcentral is "lncRNA (ENSMFAG00000053542.1)". Lineage: Eukaryota; Metazoa; Chordata; Mammalia; Primates; Cercopithecidae. The record is from RNAcentral.
UUUUUUUUUUUUUUUUUUUUUUUUUGAGAGGGAGUCUCUUGCUCUGUCCCCCAGGCUGGAGUGCAGUGGCGCGAUGUCGACUCACUGCAAGCUCCGCCUCCUGGGUUCACGCCAUUCUCCUGCCUCGGCCUCCUGAGUAGCUGGGACUACAGGCGCCCGCCACCGCACCAGGCUAAUUUUUUGUAUUUUUAGUAGAGACGGGGUUUCACCAUGGUCUUGAUCUCCUGACCUUGUGAUCCGCCCGCCUCAGCCUCCCAAUGUGCUGGGAUUACAGGCGUGAGCCACUGCGCCCGACCUCUAUGAUUUUUUUUUUUAAACCUAUUUCCUUUAGAUCAUUAUGAUGUAUAUGUAUAUAUCCAGAAAAAAAUUAAUAAAUGUCACAUUCAGAUACCUUAUAGGCAAAUAAAUCAUUUCUCUCAUGGCAUGAGCUCAGUAUUGGAAGCUAUAGAUGGCAAGUGAAUCAACAGGCAGGGUGGCCUUGGACAACUUGUCUAAUCUUCCUGGCAUUGGGAAUAAAGCACUUAGCAUCAUAGGAUCUUUUUUAAAUGAGUUAAAUGGAUAGUAACCUUAAGAUCUCCUAUAAAUGUCAUGAGGUCCUUUCUACUUAACAUAUUGUAGUUCCUUUGAUGUCUACUGCAGUCUGCUCUCUUUACUUGACCUUUACUUUGUAAAACUAAGUAGUAAUAUGCAGCUGCUGGCUUUCUGCACAGGGGCCCCAAAGGUAAUAGAUUCCAAGCCUCACAACAUCAGAGGUAUCUCUUCAAGGAGUAAGUUAAUCCUUUCAAAUCUCCCUAGUUAGUUUCUUACCAUCCUUAUCAGGUUCUCUGCUACUUGUUUGAUCAUAUCCUUUAAUCUAACUCAUUGAUUUGUUAUCUCUAAACACCAUUUUAGUUUAAUUUGCAGCUCUGAUGUCCAUUAGCAAGUGAUUACAGUGAAUGAACUUAACUGCUGUAUAUUGAGAUAAAAUACCUUUUCAAAUCCUUUGGAAGGCCUGGGGAGUGAUAAAUCUGUAGUGCUCAGGAAGGCUUCAAAGGUUAUGACAAUUGGGUUCUAAGGUUGAUACAAAUGGUUUUGAAAUUCACUUUCUCAUAUUUAUAGUUUGCAUGUAAUCUUAGGGCAUCAGUGAAUGGUCAUGCUGAAAAUAUUGAAUAACCAGGAGCUAGUUUGCAAAAGUAAAUAUAAAUGAAUACCAUUUUCUUAGUGCACUUAUAUCCUAUGUAAUGGGUUAUCUAUCUUUAGGAACAAUGAUAUUCUUUCUGGGACCAACUGCUUUAAUUCUGAGUACACUUCUGUACCAGGGGUUGCUGUCAUAUUUGUUCAUUAAGAGGUCCAUAUAUUUCGCUAUCGCUUGUGAGUGCACCAAGCUAGGAAAUUUCUAUGCUCAAUUUAAGUGGAUUUCCUAGAUAACUGAAGCUUAUCUUCUACUUAAAAAUAUUUCAAAAUUAGAUUACAUUCUCACCUUCCUUUUUCAAGUAUCUUAUAUUUGGCAUUUCUUUUAUGAAUUUUAAAUAUGUUUUUGUUCUUUGCAAUGGUUCUGGUAUAUAUUUAUCACUUCUUUUUACUUUCUUCAUUGAAUUUGUGUGUGUGGUGUUUUAUUUUUUGUUGUGGUUAAGUGAUAUUUCUUGCUUCUGUUUACCAUGUAGAAGGAUU